CUGCCCCUGACUCUGGGAUAAGCGCUGGAAACGGCGUCUAAUACUGGAUAUGUGACGUGACCGCAUGGUCUGCGUUUGGAAAGAUUUUUCGGUUGGGGAUGGGCUCGCGGCCUAUCAGCUUGUUGGUGAGGUAAUGGCUCACCAAGGCGUCGACGGGUAGCCGGCCUGAGAGGGUGACCGGCCACACUGGGACUGAGACACGGCCCAGACUCCUACGGGAGGCAGCAGUGGGGAAUAUUGCACAAUGGGCGAAAGCCUGAUGCAGCAACGCCGCGUGAGGGAUGACGGCCUUCGGGUUGUAAACCUCUUUUAGCAGGGAAGAAGCGAAAGUGACGGUACCUGCAGAAAAAGCGCCGGCUAACUACGUGCCAGCAGCCGCGGUAAUACGUAGGGCGCAAGCGUUAUCCGGAAUUAUUGGGCGUAAAGAGCUCGUAGGCGGUUUGUCGCGUCUGCUGUGAAAUCCCGAGGCUCAACCUCGGGCCUGCAGUGGGUACGGGCAGACUAGAGUGCGGUAGGGGAGAUUGGAAUUCCUGGUGUAGCGGUGGAAUGCGCAGAUAUCAGGAGGAACACCGAUGGCGAAGGCAGAUCUCUGGGCCGUAACUGACGCUGAG
Molecule: ribosomal RNA, 611 nt
Filed under: Microbacterium sp.
Lineage: Bacteria; Bacillati; Actinomycetota; Actinomycetes; Micrococcales; Microbacteriaceae
Description: bacterial SSU rRNA
Rfam family: Bacterial small subunit ribosomal RNA
Source: RNAcentral